ACUAGUAGUAGUAACCGUGCCCAGUCAGUACCUAGAUGGGAGACCACAUGGGAAAGCUAGGUUGCUGCUGGAA
This 73-nucleotide ribosomal RNA is filed under the name Danio rerio (zebrafish). The record is from RNAcentral. Lineage: Eukaryota; Metazoa; Chordata; Actinopteri; Cypriniformes; Danionidae.